RNAcentral lists this ribosomal RNA (446 nucleotides) under uncultured bacterium. Its description in RNAcentral is "bacterial SSU rRNA". It matches the Rfam family "Bacterial small subunit ribosomal RNA", at positions 330 to 792 of the family's 1533-position model. The record is from RNAcentral.
GCCAGACUCCUACGGGAGGCAGCAGUGGGGAAUAUUGCACAAUGGGGGAAACCCUGAUGCAGCGACGCCGCGUGAGUGAAGAAGUAUUUCGGUAUGUAAAGCUCUAUCAGCAGGGAAGAAGAAAGACGGUACCUGACUAAGAAGCCCCGGCUAACUACGUGCCAGCAGCCGCGGUAAUACGUAGGGGGCAAGCGUUAUCCGGAUUUACUGGGUGUAAAGGGGGCGCAGACGGCGAUGCAAGCCAGGAGUGAAAGCCCGGGGCCCAACCCCGGGACUGCUCUUGGAACUGCGUGGCUGGAGUGCAGGAGGGGCAGGCGGAAUUCCUGGUGUAGCGGUGAAAUGCGUAGAUAUCAGGAGGAACACCGGUGGCGAAGGCGGCCUGCUGGACUGCAACUGACGUUGAGGCCCGAAAGCGUGGGGAGCAAACAGGAUUAGAUACCCCAGUA